CUACGGGGCGCUGCAGUGGGGAAUAUUGCACAAUGGGCGCAAGCCUGAUGCAGCAACGCCGCGUGAGGGAUGAAGGCCUUCGGGUUGUAAACCUCUUUUAGCAGGGAAGAAGCGAAAGUGACGGUACCUGCAGAAAAAGCACCGGCUAACUACGUGCCAGCAGCCGCGGGAAUACGUAGGGUGCAAGCGUUGUCCGGAAUUAUUGGGCGUAAAGAGCUCGUAGGCGGUUUGUCACGUCUGCUGUGAAAAUCCAAGGCUCAACCUUGGACUUGCAGUGGGUACGGGCAGGCUAGAGUGCGGUAGGGGAGAUGGGAAUUCCUGGUGUAGCGGUGGAAUGCGCAGAUAUCAGGAGGAACACCAAUGGCGAAGGCACAUCUCUGGGCCGUAACUGACGCUGAGGAGCGAAAGCGUGGGGAGCGAACAGGAUUAGAUACCCCAGUAGUC
Molecule: ribosomal RNA, 444 nt
Filed under: uncultured bacterium
Lineage: Bacteria
Description: partial 16S ribosomal RNA
Rfam family: Bacterial small subunit ribosomal RNA
Source: RNAcentral